Carassius auratus (goldfish) is the source of this 340-nucleotide long non-coding RNA. RefSeq lists it as uncharacterized. The transcript has 3 exons. The record is from RefSeq and is a predicted model, not a curated record. NCBI's taxonomy places the organism in Eukaryota, Metazoa, Chordata, Actinopteri, Cypriniformes, Cyprinidae.
GAAAAAGUGAAAAAAACUGCAUUAGGUUGUGUUAGGCCAUGACUCAUUUGCAAUUGUGUUUUUGAUUUCCUCCAUAUACUAAUUAAUGUUUUUUACCUUGAGUGAUAGAUGGGUGUUCUUCCCAAGUUUCCAGCUGGCGGUCUGAAUGAGAGAAGCUCAUUGACAUUACCAAAGGUGAGUGUUCACCCCAAUGAUCUUGUGGCUCAUCUGCCUGGGAGAAGCUCAUGGGAACAUCUGGAGCUGAGAAUGAUGGAACUGCUGGGGAAAGUCUCAAAACGGGCCUGCUCUGGCUUCUCCAUGGCCCUUUGGUGGUGAUUAACAAGUGCUGUUGAAAGAAUUG